This 264-nucleotide long non-coding RNA is filed under the name Ricinus communis (castor bean). RNAcentral's name for it is "long non-coding RNA (RCOM_LNC003266)". Lineage: Eukaryota; Viridiplantae; Streptophyta; Magnoliopsida; Malpighiales; Euphorbiaceae. The record is from RNAcentral.
UGGCUUAGACUCAGCUUUAUCUUCAAGAUGCUCCAAUCCCUUUAAAUCUUUAAAACUAUUUUUAAGGCUACUCCUUAAAGAUUUUAUAUCCUUUGAAAGUUCAUCAAUGAAAUCUUGACAUGAUUGUCUUUCUAUCUUCUUUGGCUUAGGUUUAGAAUUAUAAAAAUUUUGCAAACACUUUUCAUAAUAAUCAUCAUUCUUUCGUCCCCACAAUCUAUCAUAAGAUUGAUAAAGAAGAUCUCGACGUCCUCUAGCAAACUCCUC